This 2135-nucleotide ribosomal RNA is filed under the name oral metagenome. RNAcentral's name for it is "bacterial LSU rRNA". It matches the Rfam family "Bacterial large subunit ribosomal RNA", at positions 401 to 2568 of the family's 2925-position model. The record is from RNAcentral.
AUGUCUCCCAAGUAGCGUCGGACACGUGAAAUCCGGCGUGAAUCUGUGCAGACCACUGCAUAAGGCUAAGUACACUUUUACACCGAUAGCGAAUAGUACCGCGAGGGAAAGGUGAAAAGAACCCCGGGAGGGGAGUGAAAUAGAUUCUGAAACUCAAAACUUACAACGGGUAGGAGCCACUUCGGUGGUGACUGCGUACCUAUUGACGAAUGGGCCAGCGAGUUAAUGCUAGUAGCAAGGUUAAGACAGAUACAGUCGGAGCCGUAGGGAAACCGAGUCUUAAGAGGGCGAAUGAGUUGCUAGUAUUAGACCCGAAACAAUAUGAGCUACACAUGGGCAGGUUGACGGUCGGGGGAACCCGGCUAGAGGACCGAACCGGUUGGUGCUGCAAAACCUUCGGAUGACCCGUGUGUUGGAGUGAAAAGCUUAUCGAAUAUUGUGAUAGCUGGUUCUCCCUGAAAUGCAUUUAGGUGCAGCCUGCUACUAAGAUCUUACAGGGGUAGAGCUCUGAUAAGGCUAGGGGGAUCGAGAGGUCUUACCAAACCUUGUUAAACUUCGAAUACUGUAAAGAAUGUAGUGGAGUGAGACUGCCGCAGCCAAGUGUGGUAGUCAAAAGGAUAACAGUCCAGAUUUCUGACUAAGGUCCCUAAAUUAUGGUUAAGUGGAAAAGGUUGUGCGGUUGCAUAGACAUCCAGGAGGUUUGCUUAGAAGCAGCAACCCUUUAAAGAAAGCGUAACAGCUCACUGGACGAGCGAUUGUGUGCCGAAGAUGUAACGGGGCUCAAACCAUAUACCGAAGUCGAAAGCCUCUUUGAGGCGGUAAGGGAGUGUUCUAUACUGAGUGAAGGUGUGUCGUAAGGCUAUCUGGACGGUAUAGAAGUAAGAAUGCUGGCAUGAGUAACGACUGUAUAUGAAAAUUAUACACGCCUAAAGCCUAAGGUUUCCUACGCAACGUUCAUCGACGUAGGGUUAGGCGGGACCUAAGGGAAGACCCGAAAGGGGCACCCGAUGGAUAGCUGGUUAAUAUUCCAGCCCUUAAUUAUCAAGCGAUGUGGUGACGCAUUGGGAUGUGUGUGAGCUUUCUAAGGAUGAGAGUUCAAUCAACAAGUCAUAUGAGAUAGGCAAAUCCGUCUCGUAGCUAUUGGCGAGUUGUAUGAUGAUGAUAACUUCGGUUAUUAAAAUCGCAUAGUUCUGGUGCCAAGAAAAACCGCUAGCGUUAAUUGAUAAUUAACCCGUACCCAGAACCGACACCGGUAGGCAGGUUGAGAAUACCAAGGCGCUCGAGAUAACCAAUUUAUAAGGAACUAGGCAAAUCAGCGACCGUAACUUCGGGAUAAGGUCUGCCCUGCAUUUAUGUAGGGCCGCAGCGAAAGUGGUGGGGGGAACUGUUUAUCAAAAACACAGCUCUCUGCUAACAUGCAAAUGGAUGUAUAGAGGGUGACGCCUGUCCAAUGCCAGAAUGUUACGCUCUCCGGUUCACGCUUGAGAGUUAAGCACUGGUGAAUGACGGCCGUAACUAUGACGGUCCUAAGGUAGCGAAAUUCCUUGUCAGGUAAGUUCUGACCCGCAUGAAUGGCGCAAUCAUCCCCACACUGUCUCGUGAUUGGUCUCGGUGAAAUUACAUUACCGGUAAAAAUGCCGGUUAGUCGCAGCUAGACGAAAAGACCCCAUGAAGCUUUACUGUAGGUUGAUAUUGUAUUGUAGUAUGUUAUGUUCAGGAUAGGUGGGAGGCUUUGAAGCUGUCACGCUAGUGAUGGUGGAGCCAUCCUUGAGAUACCACCCAUGACAUAUAGCAAUACUAACCUCGCACAGCGAGGAACAGUGUCAGCUAGGCAGUUUACCUGGGGCGGGUGCCUCCUAAAAUGUAACGGAGGCGCGCAAAGGUGUGCUUGUAACGGAUGGAAACCGUUGCUAAAGUGUAUUCGCAUAAGCACGCUUGACUGCAAGACUGACAGGUCGAGCAGGUACGAAAGUAGGUGAAAGUGAUCCGGAUCUUCCGAGUGGAAGGGGAUCCGCUCAACGGAUAAAAGUUACUCUGGGGAUAACAGGCUAAUGGGAUCUAAGCGUUCAUAGCGACGAUCCCGUUUGGCACCUCGAUGUCGGCUCGUCGCAUCCUGGGGCUGUAGAAGGUCCCAA